AGCAGCCGCGGUAAAUUCCAGCUCCAAUAGCGUAUAUUAAAGUUGUUGCAGUUAAAAAGCUCGUAGUUGAAUUUCGGGAUUAACGUAAUGGUCGUGCCUUAAGGGGUAUGAACUGUUACUGUUGAUUUCUCACCUUCUGGAGAAUCUUGAUGUCCUUAAUUGGGUGUCUUGUGGAUCCAGGACCUUUACCUUGAAAAAUUAGAGUGUUUAAACGCAGGCAUUUUGCUCGAAUACAUUAGCAUGGAAUAAUAGAAUAGGACGGCAUGGUUCUAUUUUGUGGUUUCUAGGAUCACCGUAAUGAUUAAUAGGGAUAGUUGGGGGCAUUUAGUAUUCAAUUGUCAGAGGUGAAAUUCUUGGAUUUAUUGAAGACUAACUACUGCGAAAGCAUUUGCCAAGGAUGUUUUCAUUAAUC
This 412-nucleotide unclassified non-coding RNA is filed under the name uncultured Glomus. RNAcentral describes it as "SSU rRNA". It matches the Rfam family "Eukaryotic small subunit ribosomal RNA", at positions 569 to 978 of the family's 1831-position model. The record is from RNAcentral. Lineage: Eukaryota; Fungi; Glomeromycota; Glomeromycetes; Glomerales; Glomeraceae.